CCGGGCACUGCAAGGACAGAAGCAGGCGAUGCACAGAGGGAGCUCUCGCGGUCUUGCCCAACCGUUUCUCAUAGGCAAGAGUUCCAGAGAUGAUGUUUCUCUUUCCUGGGCCAAGGUUUAAUCUUUGUAUUUCAAAAUACAUUUCUCCAUUUUUCAACUUAGAUUUUCAUCAGAUGCCUGCAAGAGAAUAAUAUACCCACCAGUUAGUCAGCUGCUUCAUCUGUCAUUUUUAUGAAGGGAUGUCAUGGUUGGACUGAGCAAAAUUGCCUGCAAAAAAACAUCUUGGAAAAAUAUCAGGAGAGAUUAAAGAAGAAAGAACAUAUACAGUCUCAAAUCACAUUAGUAGCCUAAAACAGUGCCCCUGAGUCACUUUCUUUAAAAAAUGAUUGAGUCAAAGUAGCAUUGAAGAGGACACAUUCCAAAUGUUAGCUAUUUACUUUUUUAAAGACUUGAUUAAUUAGUAAUUUACAAAGUAAGAUAGAAACACAAAGGAGGUAUUCAUGAAAAAAUGAUAUUCCUUCUUUCAGGAUUUAAUCAAACUCCUAAAAUUCCCAACGUUGAUCCCAGGAUUCUUGGCUAACAGCAUCAACUGCAAUGCUGAGGUUUAGGCUGGCUAUACUCUGAGGCUAGGGUUAGAGAGAAAUGAAUCUACUAAUACAUUAAGCCACUAUGUCAAUUUCUUACAACUUUGAAAAUAAAAUCUUUUUGAUCCUUUCUAAAGCA
This 723-nucleotide long non-coding RNA is filed under the name Monodelphis domestica (gray short-tailed opossum). Its description in RNAcentral is "lncRNA (ENSMODG00000038466.1)". The record is from RNAcentral. Lineage: Eukaryota; Metazoa; Chordata; Mammalia; Didelphimorphia; Didelphidae.